Molecule: non-coding RNA, 41 nt
Filed under: Alexandrium minutum
Lineage: Eukaryota; Dinophyceae; Gonyaulacales; Pyrocystaceae
Source: RNAcentral
UUUUUUUUUUUUUUUUUUUUUUUUUUCUGACAAGCCGCGUA